AGUGAACGCUGGCGGUAGGCCUAACACAUGCAAGUCGAGCGGCAGCACAGUAAGAGCUUGCUCUUACGGGUGGCGAGUGGCGGACGGGUGAGGAAUACAUCGGAAUCUACUUUUUCGUGGGGGCUAACGUAGGGAAACUUACGCUAAUACCGCAUACGACCUACGGGUGAAAGCAGGGGAUCUUCGGACCUUGCGCGAUUGAAUGAGCCGAUGUCGGAUUAGCUAGUUGGCGGGGUAAAGGCCCACCAAGGCGACGAUCCGUAGCUGGUCUGAGAGGAUGAUCAGCCACACUGGAACUGAGACACGGUCCAGACUCCUACGGGAGGCAGCAGUGGGGAAUAUUGGACAAUGGGCGCAAGCCUGAUCCAGCCAUACCGCGUGGGUGAAGAAGGCCUUCGGGUUGUAAAGCCCUUUUGUUGGGAAAGAAAAGCAGCAGGUUAAUACCCCGCUGUUCUGACGGUACCAAAAGAAUAAGCACCGGCUAACUUCGUG
Molecule: ribosomal RNA, 492 nt
Filed under: uncultured bacterium
Lineage: Bacteria
Description: partial 16S ribosomal RNA
Rfam family: Bacterial small subunit ribosomal RNA
Source: RNAcentral